Hippocampus comes (tiger tail seahorse) is the source of this 486-nucleotide long non-coding RNA. RefSeq lists it as uncharacterized. The transcript has 2 exons. Lineage: Eukaryota; Metazoa; Chordata; Actinopteri; Syngnathiformes; Syngnathidae. The record is from RefSeq and is a predicted model, not a curated record.
UCCGGUUUCCGGUCUCGGAAAUUUGGAGAAAAUGGUUUAGUGACAAUGGAAAUAGACUCAAACCUCACUUGAGUUUCACACUCAAAUGAAGCAAAUAUCCCAACAUAACAUAAAAAUUAGGCCGAGGCCGACACCAUAUUUCGCUCAAGACAGUCCUUCUUACUUUUAGAAAAGAUUCAUAUAUUUUUUCUUUUUGUCUGUGAAUUGGAUAUUGAACUGAACAAAGGCCCUGUUGACCAUCUCAGCAGGGGUUGAACCCAGGACACCCAGCAUGUCUUUCACUUUAUUGCAAGAGAAGCAGUACACUCAACAAGGGGUGUUAAAAGGAGAAGAAGGUCAGAAGAACCCGUAUCAGACAACAAACGUACCAUAUGUAAAGUGAACUCUCAUUCAUCCCUGCCUUUCCUUUGCUCAUUUCUCCUCCUCUUCUUCUGAAAUUGUGCACCUAAUGGUUUUGGGCUUUUCUUCUCCAUAUUUAUAACAAAA